GCAUUGGUGAUUCAGUGGUAGAACUCUUGCCUUCCAUGCGGAGACCUUGGUUCAAUUCCUGACCAAUGUA
RNAcentral lists this transfer RNA (70 nucleotides) under Loxodonta africana (African savanna elephant). It matches the Rfam family "tRNA". From Rfam's summary of the family: Transfer RNA (tRNA) molecules are approximately 80 nucleotides in length. Their secondary structure includes four short double-helical elements and three loops (D, anti-codon, and T loops). Lineage: Eukaryota; Metazoa; Chordata; Mammalia; Proboscidea; Elephantidae. The record is from Rfam by way of RNAcentral.